UGCUCACAUUGAAUUCCAUCAGCCAUUUCCUGGACCACUCUCCCAAACUGUCUAGAUCCUUCUGCAGCCUCCCUCACUCCUCCCUUCAGGAACAAGUACUCCAUCAGGCUGGUGAAUGAAGGUGGGAAUGCCAUGCAUGUGGGGAGUAAAGACUGGCCCCCACUCAGAUAUGAUGUUGCAGAUUGUGUCUGGUCUCAGAUUGGUCUCACCAGCCACCAAACCAGAUGAAAGCAAGGCACUCCGGACCCCAAGGGACUGCCUGAGAAGAAGAUAAGUGCACAGAUACCUCUGAGGAACCUUAGAGUGUCUGCGAACUACACAAGGAACACUGGUCUGGAUGGCCUGUGAUUUGGUGCUGAACCUGAGGAGCAUUUAUUUUUCAAAAUAUUGUUUAUAGCAAAAAACACUUUAAUUGAAUCUCCUAAUUAAAUGCCAACAUCAUAGGGCAAAAAAGCUGAACAGCAUAGUUUUUCUGUAAUCACAAGUACGUAUUGCAGUUAGGAGAUGUGAACAUGUAGUGAUGUGAUUGGAUAAUAUAGUCAUGUGCACUAAUCUGGAAUGUAGACUAUUCCAAUAUGGUUGGGUACAGAUAGGGGUGAGUAUGUAUGUAACCCUUUGA
This is a non-coding RNA of Chiloscyllium plagiosum (whitespotted bambooshark), 619 nucleotides long. Lineage: Eukaryota; Metazoa; Chordata; Chondrichthyes; Orectolobiformes; Hemiscylliidae. The record is from RefSeq and is a predicted model, not a curated record.